Drosophila virilis is the source of this 437-nucleotide non-coding RNA. The record is from RefSeq and is a predicted model, not a curated record. Lineage: Eukaryota; Metazoa; Arthropoda; Insecta; Diptera; Drosophilidae.
CACAUCGUCGUUAUCCUUCUCGUUGUUCGUCGUUGCCAGCGACAGGAGCAGCAGCAGCGCACGCCUGCGGGCUGUUCUAUAUAUACAGAUAUAUAAGGGGUGCUUUCUCUCUAGCUGCACCAAAGCAACAGCCUCUGCUUUUGCUUGCUCACCCUGUACAUUUGGCGCACUUAUCAAUGAUAACAAGCAACCGCUGCCUGUGUGUGAGGGUUGAAAAUUGCGUAUACGCCGCGUGUGCUGCAUUAUAUAUGGGGUCCUGUGAGCUUAUCGUUAUUGAGCUGUUGUGUGUGUGUUUGGAUGUUUGCUAAAAUAACAAAAGGCAGCUUAAAGUGCUAACCAUAAAAUGUAUUGCACAUAGAUACCCAUCAAGUAUACAUUUUCCCCCAGCUGCAAAUAAACACGUCUCUAUUAUGGCAAAUACGCUUAAAUACCUAAAA